CCAGACUCCUACGGGAGGCAGCAGUGAGGAAUAUUGGUCAAUGGGCGAGAGCCUGAACCAGCCAAGUCGCGUGAAGGACGACGGUUCUAUGGAUUGUAAACUUCUUUUGUAGAGGAAUAACGGUAGCUACGUGUAGCUGAGAUGCAUGUACUCUACGAAUAAGUAUCGGCUAACUCCGUGCCAGCAGCCGCGGUAAUACGGAGGAUACGAGCGUUAUCCGGAAUUAUUGGGUUUAAAGGGUGCGUAGGUGGCGUAUUAAGUCAGUGGUGAAAAGCUGCAGCUCAACUGUAGUCUUGCCGUUGAAACUGAUAUGCUAGAGAGGAGACGAGGUAUGCGGAAUGUGUGGUGUAGCGGUGAAAUGCAUAGAUAUCACACAGAACGCCGAUUGCGAAGGCAGCGUACCAGGCUCCGUCUGACACUGAAGCACGAAAGCGUGGGGAUCAAACAGGAUUAGAUACCCUGGUAGUCCACGCAGUAAACGAUGAAUACUAGAUUUUUGCGAUAUACUGUAAGAGUCUAAGCGAAAGCGAUAAGUAUUCCACCUGGGGAGUACGCCGGCAACGGUGAAACUCAAAGGAAUUGACGGGGGCCCCGCACAAG
RNAcentral lists this ribosomal RNA (600 nucleotides) under uncultured bacterium. RNAcentral's name for it is "bacterial SSU rRNA". It matches the Rfam family "Bacterial small subunit ribosomal RNA", at positions 331 to 929 of the family's 1533-position model. The record is from RNAcentral.